UGACGCAGCGACGCCGCGUGAAGGAUGAAGGUCUUCGGAUUGUAAACUUCUUUGUUGGGGACGAUAAUGACGGUACCCGAUGAAUAAGCCACGGCUAACUCUGUGCCAGCAGCCGCGGUAAGACAGAGGUGGCAAGCGUUGUUCGGAAUUACUGGGCUUAAAGGGCGCGUAGGUGUCCCGGCAAGUCAGAUGUGGAAUCUCUCCGCUUAACGGGGAAAUUGCAUCUGAAACUGUCGGGAUUGAGUCAGCGAGGGGAUGGCGGAAUUCCAGGUGUAGCGGUGAAAUGCGUAGAUAUCUGGAGGAAGGCCGGUGGCGAAGGCGGCCAUCUGGCGCUGAACUGACACUGAGGCGCGAAAGCGUGGGGAGCAAACAGGAUUAGAUACCCUGGUAGUCCACGCCCUAAACGGUGGAUACUAGGUGUAGGGCUCGUAAGGGUUCUGUGCCGAAGGGAAACCAUUAAGUAUCCCGCCUGGGGAGUACGGCCGCAAGGUUG
RNAcentral lists this ribosomal RNA (493 nucleotides) under uncultured bacterium. RNAcentral describes it as "bacterial SSU rRNA". It matches the Rfam family "Bacterial small subunit ribosomal RNA", at positions 384 to 896 of the family's 1533-position model. The record is from RNAcentral.